CAUCAAGCUGGUCGCGGCACACCACAGAGAAAUACUCAGCCUGUGUGAGGGGUGUAGGAAGAACCUCUGUGAGGUCGAAUGGGGAACAGGGCUCUAGGAGUCUCUAAUCUUGACCACUGUCACCUGAAUGAGCAAGGACUACACAGGUGGGUUUUACUGCACUUCUGUCUCUUUGCCAGGGGCAGUCGCUUGGAAUCCGUGAAGCUGGAAGCCAGUGUGGGAUUUGUGUACCUUGGGAUGAUUCUCUUGCUGCUUCAGGAAUCAAGUGAAAACAAGAAUCAUUUCGAAGAUUUCGUCUGUCCUACUACAAUUCUCAUUGCUUUACCAGAUGACCCUGGUAGAGAAGUAAUAGUCCUUUGGAAGAGUAUAGAAAGAAGACAGAAUUUUAUGCUUCAGGCAGUGAGUAUGAAAUUUGUGGGGCAGUCGCUUGGAAUCCGUGAAGCUGGAAGCCAGUGUGGGAUUUGUGUACCUUGGGAUGAUUCUCUUGCUGCUUCAGGUGUGUCUGGGGACAUCGUGAUGAGCCAGUCUCCAGGCCCCCUGACGGAGUCUGCAGGAGAGCACGUCGCCAUCAACUGCAAGUCCGGCCAGAGCCUUCUAUCUAGCUACAACCAGAAGAGCUACUUAGCGUGGUGCCGGCAGAAACCAGGACAGGCUCCUAAACUGCUCAUCUACCGGGCGUCCACCCGGGCAUCUGGGGUCCCUGACCGGUUCAGCGGCAGCGGGUCUGGGACACACCUCACCCUCACCAGCGGCAGCCUCCAGGCUGAAGAUGUGGGGGUGUAUUACUGCCCGCAGAGUUAUAAUACUCCUCCCACAGUGCUUCAGCCUCGCGCCCAAGCCUCCUCCCCGGGGGCCACGGGUCAGGGAGGCUUGGCUGCCCCAGCUGCUUCCUCCCCGCUCAGCCCUGUUUCUCCGUAGGUUGCAUGAGAAGCCUUCUGGCUGAAUCACAGAAGAGUGGAGAGUCUCAAGGGAAGACUGAGUAGAUCGGCCUCUUCUAUGUCUCUUGUGCAAGGAGGUCGUUCUGAGAAGACUGUGAGGAUUUGCCAUGGACCCUGGUCUACAUCGGCCACGAUAUUUUGUGUCACCUGAAUCUGAAUUGUCCGUACAGAUGGAUUUAUUUUACUGACUUGAUCAUGGCUUCGGCUGCAUCUUGUGGAGAAGGGACCAGUGGGCUUCACAGCAGAGUGCUGUCCUGUAAUGUGACACUUCAGCGUUCCCUGUAACCCUUUGGUCCACUGCAUAGCUGCCCACCUCAGCAUGUGAUCACUCAGCGGUGUUCUUAAGGCCGUACUUCCUUCAGCUUCUCCUCUCUCUCCUUGCCAGAGGCUAUUAGAAAGUGACCAUGUACAUGCAAAAAAUAGUAUCUCACUGGAGCCCAGCUGAAGUCUUACAAAAGCAUUUGAGGUCAACUGCGAGGGGGCAGGAUUCUGUGAGUUUUACAGAAGCUGUGUAGACCUCACAGUGGAGGUGGCCUCGUGGUUCUACAUCUGACUGUACGCCUGGAUUUGGGUUCCGGGACCUCGAGGAUAACUUUCCUGUUUCUGCAGUAUGAAAACACCUGCAUAUUCGUCUAGAUUAUUUGGAAUGUAUCCUCCCCGCACCGCCUGGGCUGUGCUAUGAAGACUUACCCCUUCUCUACGUGGAUCUCAGCCCGUCUGUAAGUGUGGAAGGUGAACUGGGUGCGUAUUGAGCACGUAGACACGCUUCAUCCUUAAACAUCUCAAUAGCUUAGACCUGCGGCUCCUACCUUUUCUUGGGCUUCAUGGCAAGCUGGCGUAACCCCAAUCUACUGACUAAAGAGAAAGAGUGUGUGUGAUUAUUGUCGUUCUGGAUUGCUCACCAGCACUCUGGUAGACUCAAAAAUUGUAUUUCAUGUUUCAGUGAAAAGCUAUCUUUUUUCUCCUGUUGGUUGUACAGAAAGUACAGAAAGUGGCCUGUCAGCCACUUUUCCAUCAUGAGGGAGCCCAUGACUGACAGACUGAGGACAGCAGAGCUGAUGUGGAAACUGUCUGAUUUUACUUUAAGUCGUUGACUCAGUCGACUCUGAAAUCCACCCUUUCUCUAGCCCUGUUACUUGUACUGACAGCAUUCUACAUGAUAUUUCAAAUUUGGUUCUCCGUUAUGAAGUAAUCUCCAUGGGGCAGUAGAUUCUAGAUAAACAGGUCUCCUUGCUCUUUUUUGGUUGAUUGCACAUUAUCUCACAAACAUCAACUGAAGUGUGUGCAUUAUUGCAUCUUCCAAACACUGGAGCAGCUCUCUUCCUGACUGAGUUAGAGUGAAAUGCGCAGCCCAGUAGCUUGAGUGACGCACCGCACUGCCCCUACUCAGCCCUUCAUGUUGUAACUAAUGCUGUGUGUGGGCACCAGGGGCAGCGACCUUUCUCGCAGGCAAACAGCUGCAAGCUUAGAUGUGUGAACUUCCUUUACACUGUACACAAAUUUCACCAAAGUAAGCUAGUAUGGCUCCCUUCAGUGUAGACAUAAUGGAAAAGUGGGGCAAUUGUCACAAAAGAACCUCCCUGCCCAACUGGCCUGCGGGAUCGUGUCCAGGGCUGUGACCAUGUGGGGGGGGGUGAGAACGACUUUAUAGAGAGCACUAAAGAAUAACAUAGCUAGCCUGCCUAUUACUGAUGGCUGGCGCAUAGACAGUGUAGGACCUCCAAUUCUCUGUGCACACCCGGGGCAGGGCCGUGCGUUGGAACCUGGUUGACAGGUGUCCUGAAUCAAGUCCUGGUUGCUGUUAGUUCCAAAGUUAAGCGGUCGGUUGCUCUUUUGUUUUUGUUAGAGUUGGUGACGGUUUUCUCUAUGUAGAGAUCCCACCAAAGAUUUUGUUUUCUCAGCAACGAAAAUAUCAUGUUGAAUGAAGAAAAAAAGUUAAAAGUACAUGGCAAUAAGUCCGUUAAAUCUUUUCGGUCGAAUCCAAAGGGCAGUUUUCCUGGAUGACAAUAUUUAAACAAUUCUAAAAAGACUGUUAACUAGUAUUUGCCCUUGACUA
Ailuropoda melanoleuca (giant panda) is the source of this 2994-nucleotide non-coding RNA. The record is from the annotation of a RefSeq genome assembly. Lineage: Eukaryota; Metazoa; Chordata; Mammalia; Carnivora; Ursidae.